This 229-nucleotide long non-coding RNA is filed under the name Vigna radiata. RNAcentral describes it as "long non-coding RNA (VRAD_LNC016476)". The record is from RNAcentral. Lineage: Eukaryota; Viridiplantae; Streptophyta; Magnoliopsida; Fabales; Fabaceae.
AAAUUUUGAUCAUAACAUAUAAAUAAGUAUUUUAAGACCAGCAAAUAUUCCUAAACAAGAUGAUAAAAAUAAAUAGAAUUUAAAAAAAAAAAACUAAGAAAAAAAAACGUAACUGUACACGAAACAAAUACUUCACUAACCAUUAUCUUUGCUAACAAACUCUAUUUCAUCACGGGUUUUACGGUAUCGGAUUGUUUCGGUAGUUGAGAUUCACUUAUUCGUGCGCCAC